GGGGUGCAGCCACCGCCCCCCGCCCGAUCCGGCGCCCCCAGAGGCGGGCGGCCAUCGCCCGCCAGCCCGCAGCUUGUCGCGCAGGUCUAGUCCGCCGCCAUGCCGGGGCCUGUACCUGCGCUGGAAGUCCCGCUCGAAGGGGGCCAGGUAGGGGUCCCGCUCUAGCAGCUCCGGUAGCUUAGGCGCCUGCGGGCCUUGCGUGCCAGAGGCGGCCAUCUUGCCACCACGGCUCGGUAGCGCCGGGCACGGCCGCUAUAUACCUCCAGGCGGGGGAGGGGGGGGUCUCGGCGCGGGGCGGGCGGGCGGGCAAGGAGCCCACUGCCUCUCACCGCCCGGCGCCGCCCACCGGCGGGGGCAGCCCCGGGACCGAGAGCCGCCCGCCUCCGCCGCCACUCCCCGCCCGCCGUGUGCCUCGCGGCCUUGGGCGGGGUGGGAGGCCGGGGCUGCGGGUGGUCCUGGCCGCGACGCUCGGGCUCCCUGGAAGGGGCACGGGGUGCGAGCGCUGCGAUAAAUUCCUCCGCCGCUCGGCGGGGCGCUGGGCAGCUCGCAGUCGAGCGCAGCGACGCGACUCUGAUGGCAUCCGUGAGCUCUCAUAAAACGCUGCGUGUGUCUGGCAGAAUGCUGCUUCGCGGGGGCCAGAGGAGACCUGAACAAAGUAGAGUGAGUUCAGUGGAUCCUAAAGCAGCUGUAAAUGCUGAAUAGCACAGAUAGAUUAUGAGGGACAGGGUAUCAAUCAGUGUGUUUCAUUUUUGGAUAGGCCUCCAGGUAUCCAGGGUAACUCUUUACCAGCCUGAUCGUGGCUGUUGUCCAGCACUUUUUUUAAGAUACAGCAGUAUUGCUUUGUUAAGAUACAUACUGACAAUGUGUAUUUACAGGCCUCUUUUUGGAUACAUUUUAGCCACAGGUUAUAAACUUUCCAGCACUAGGGUACUUGGCAUUGCUUCCACAACCAUCUCCCAAGAUUUCUGUCCGUGGUUUGUAACUCAUCUCCCCUGCCUUGGCUUACUGUGGAUUUAGAGUGCCUUCCUAUUCUGCUGUCAGGUGACAGCCUGUAACAAACUACAGCAGUUCAUUUAUAGCUUCUCCAAAAAUUGGCUGCAGUGACAGUUUUCAAAAUUAUUUGUUUCAUCAAAUGGUAUGCAUUUAACUACGCUGUAUUUCUUUCCUUGCAGCAGUUUAUAACUACACACAAAAAAAUCCAAGUACUUUUGUCUUACAGAGAACUAAAAUUGUUCUCUGUCCUAAGAAUCAGUGGCUCAGUAUCUGGAUGGAGAUCAGUAGUAAGCGGUGUCCCUCAGGGAUCAGAACUGGGAUGAGUGCUGUUUAAUAUCUUCAUCCAUUACAUGAACAGUAGGAUCAAGUGCACCCUCAGCAAGAUUGUGGAAGAUGCCAAGCUGUGUGGUACAGUCAGCACAUCUGAGGGAUAGAAUGCCAUCCAGAGGGACCUAGACAGCUGUAAGCAGUGGACCCAGGUCAACCUCAUGAGGUUCGAUGAAGCCAUGUGCAAGGUCUUGCACCUGGGUCAAGGCAACCUCCUCUAUCAGUACAAGAUGGCAGUGAAGGAAUGGAGGACAGCCCUGCAGAAAAGGACUUGGGGGUACUGAUGGAUGGGAAGCUGGACAUGAGCCAGCACUGGGCCCUCACAGCCCAGAAAGCCAACUGUAUCCUGAGGUGCAUCAAAAGAAGUGUGAUCAGCUGGUCAAGGGAGGUGAUCCUGCCCCCUCUACUCUACACUGCUGAGAUCUUACCUGGAAUAGCAUGUCCAGGUGUGGACACGCUCCUCAGUACAAGAGAGAUGUGGACCUGUUGGAGGGUCCAGAGAAGGGCCACAGAAAUGAUCCAAAGAAUGGAACACCUCCCCGUGAGGACAAGCUGAGAGAGCUGGGGCUGUUCAGCCUGGAGAAGAGAUGCCUCUGGGGAGACCUGAGAACAGCCUUUCAGUAUCUAAAGGGGGGCUGUGAGAAGUAAGGGGACAGACCCUUUAGCAGUGCCUUAGCAGGGUCUGUUGUGAUAGGACAAGUGGAAAUUAUUUCAAACUAAAAGAGGGGAGACUUAGACUGGAUAUAAGAAAGAAGGUUUUUUACAAUAAGGCACUGAAACUGGUUGCACAAAGAGGUAGUGGCAGCCCUGUCUCUGGGGACAUGCAGGGUUUAGACUGGACAGAGCUCUGAGCAACCUGAUCUAGUCGGUGUCCCUGUUCACUACAGGGAGUUGGACUAGAUAACCUUUAAAGGCCCCUUAAACGAUUCUAGGAUUCUGAGAAAUUGUUACAUAACUUGCCUCGGUGUCUACCAUUUCUUCAGUCUCAGUCAGGACUGAAAACCUGUUAUAUGCCUCAGAACUGUCUGUGUAGCAGUGAUUCCCUUGUCUGUGUUAAACUGAAGUUUAAUAACUCUAUCUUAUUUCUGACAUCAUGCUAUGCACAUUAUGUUUUCUUUUGCAAACUGUCUCUGACAUUCCCAUAGUUAUCUGGUUGGGCAAGCAAAGAGGGGAGCAAAUCCAGCUGUUAAUCAAGAGCCAGGAACUUGUUUUUCACAAUAGCUAGCGUUUUACCUGUACUGCUGUUUGAGGCUUCCAGCUGUAAUGGAGAGGUUGCCUGCUGCUCACGAGGAAGGAGGGGGGAAAUCCCUGCAGUCUUUGAAUAUACUACCAUAGGAAACAGGAGCUUCAUUUUAAGCACAGUCUGUUUGGUUUUCUUAAUUAUCAGAAAGCUCAACAGGUUCAGAGUGCCAUUAUUAGCUAUUUGGCAUAGACACAAGAGAGAGAUUUAUAAAUUGGCAUUAGCAAUUCAUGUAAACAGUAGGAAUAUUGCUGUGACUUCGAGCUCCCUGGAGACAGAGACCCUUUCUUAACCUUUGUUUGUGAGAUUGUAAGCAGAAAUAACACAGUACCCAGACUCGCAUCCAAGCAUCCUUGAAUGUCAGGAAGUUAAAUUCUUCAAGUAGCCCCAAGUGCUAUAUUUAAUACCUUGUGAAUUGGGAAAUUGAUAACCAUUCUAUUUGUAUCCAUUCAUGUUCAAGUUUACAACUGAGGUGUGAUUUUAUCUGCCUGCUCAAAGACACAAAGGCAUAUAUUACUGUGAUCUAUUCCAGUGUGAUCUGGCUGAGACUCUAAGGCUGAAUUUGGCUCUGAGGACAUUGCCAUUUAGUCUUCUACCUAGAGGCAAAAAAAGGGCACUCGAAACAAUAAAUGUUGUUGCAGUAGAUGAAUGCUUCUUUGUGUAUUUGUCUGACAUCCACCCAAAGAUAGCAGCUGCCAGUAGAGAUAGGAAGAAGGGGUGGAUGGUAAUAACUGCUCUUUUGGGGGACAGUAAUGGAUCUUAAAGGACUGGCAUCUGAGGCAUGUGUCUGGCACCCAGCUACCACCAAGAACAGAGUAUAUCAAACCACUCUAAAUUUGUCUUUCAAAGGAUGUUUAUUAUUAAGUUGUGUAUACUUUAAAAUGUUGCAUAGCAGUGCUAUGCAAUAACUAGUUACAAUUCUUAUAAUAGUUUCUGUACGAAGUUCAAAAAGAAAUCCAAGUUUUGUAUUGAAGAACAUUCAAGAACUGACUACUCACGUAAUGCACUACAGCAAUUUUCAUUUUCUCAUAUAUUGCUCUUACUUGCAAAAGUAGACAGAGAUGCUAAACUGUAGGAACAGGGUUCUUUCUCUGAAGCACUGGUUCAAAUUCUUCCCACCAUCCUGGCUCUCAGAUUGGCCAGAGACCACCUCAUGGUGUUAGCUGGAGCCUGCAGGGAGACAGACAGGACAGUUGUCAAGGGUACUGUGUAACUAGUUUUCCUUCCACUAUAGGCAUAAAAGGGGCAUUGCAAACAUACAGUACAUUUCUUAAAUAUCACUAAUCUACAUAGUCUUUACAGGUAGGUCAGACAUUGGCAGUUGAGAUUAUACAAGUUUUUUAUUCCUGUCUUUGAGCUUUCCAAGGCUCUGCUGAGAUGCAGAAGGAGGAAAAAUGGGCAGUGUUGCACAGUUGCUGAAUCUCAGCAGCAUGUCAGUUCUUUAAUUAAAACAUUAAAAAGUUUUGCAGUUUUUGUAAGGAUUCAACUAUUAAUUAAUUACUUAGGAAAAAUAAAGGAUAUAACAUUGAAAAUUACAGCAAACAUUCCAAGAAUCCAUUAGUCUAUCCCUUAAUUAGUUUAUGGUUUGGGGGGUUUGUUUUUGUUGGCUUUUUCUCUGUCAGUUUGUUUUAGGAAAUUUAUUAUUCAUUGAGAUUGUCUUUUUAGGUCUUACCAUUGCCCUCGUAUGGUAACAGGAUCUUUAAAUAGAAACACAUCUUUAAAGAUCAAAAGUAAUCUGAAAUCUAAACUACUAAAAAGCCACUUUCAGAGUUGUCAAAUUCCACUAAAUGCUUUUGAUAGGAAUGCUAUUUGCACUUAGCAUACAGAACCAAAAUCACACUGUAGCAGCAUGAAAGCACUAGAUAAUGGCUGCUUUUUGCUUUCAUGUUACUGAAGUAUUACUAUGAUCUGGUGUCCCCAUGGAACACCUCCCUUGUAAGGACAGACUGAAAAAGCUGGGACUGUUCAGCCUGGAGAAGAGAAGCCUCUGGGGAGACUUGAUAGCAGCCUUUCAGUGUCUGAAGGGGGGCUGUAAGAAAGAAAAGGACAGACUCUUUAGCAAGGUCUGUGGUGACAGGACAAGGGAAAAUGGUUUAAAACUAAAAGAGUGGAGAUUUAAAUUGGACAUAAGGAAUUUUUUUGCAAUAAGGGUGGUGAGGCUCUGGAACAGGUUACUCAAAGAUGUGGUGGAGUCCCCAUCUUAGGAGACAUUCAAGGACCUAUAAAGGUCCUUUCCAACUUAAAAGAUUUUAUGAUUCAUUACUACUUAGUAAGAAUAUUUUACUUCAUGUUAUUACAUCACUUCAAUAAUACUCCAUAUCUUUUUGUUUGUUUUGCUUUGGUUUAAUCUCUUCUUUGUAACAAACAGAUAAAUAUUUAUAAUUUAAAUAGCAGUUUAAUUACAAUCACAUAUAAGGUUAAUUUUGAGUUUUCUGAGUUAAUGUUAUCCUACUUCAGCUGGAAUUAUGGAUUAAUGUUUCUCAGUUUCCAAUGCCCUUCGUUUUUUGGUGUCUCUUUGAGUUUUUUGUUAAUCUCUCAAAAUUCUCCCUGGAUGUUGGAUUCAGUCUCCUAAUUCCACUGAAGAAACAUUUGAUAUCUGAUUUUAGUUUAACUAACCACUCUGUGCAGAUAUUUCUCCCAUUCUGCAUGAUCAGCUUCUACAGCAGGGCUCUCAUAUAAGUUCUGGUUUCCACUGCUUUCAUAUUUCAACUUCUUUGUUAGCACUUCAUUCUGUUUGUGUAUGCUUAAUCAGAAUAACCUUUUAAAUUGUACAGAUUUCAGCUUGUGCCAGUAUUCAGUCUUUCUGCAUUAUGUUCUCUUCUCAGGCAACAUCCAGGCUUGUCAUUUUCCAAUUGUCCAUUCAUUCCAUCAGGACAGUAGGCCUUCCCCAAUGAUCAAAUUGUAAUUUGAAGUCUGUAAAGGUGAAGUGUAAGCCUUUUUGGCUGCAGCUGAGAGAAAAACUCACAAAGGAUUCCAUCCUGGGAGCUGAGUCAUUCUCUAAAUCAAGAACUGUCAUUCUCUGUACAUAAAAUAUUCCUCUGCAGAGCUUAAGGUAAGUCUUAUUGCGCUGCUUUCCUUCAGGAAUUUAUAUCUGCAUAGAAGAAAAUUGAGCCUCAUGCCAAUAGAUGAGAUAGACUUUAUGGCUUCUCCAUGAUCACACCACAUAUUGGUAAAAGCAUGGAACUGUGAAAUAUGAGAUGCAAAUGUCAAAAUAUUUCUUUGUUUUUGUAAGGAGUUGCACAAGGAGUCAUUCCUUUUCUGUACAACAAAGUAUGGGUAUUCAUAACUGUAAAAAAAGCCACGCUACCAAGAAUAGAAAAAAUAAAUGCCAUUUGUUGUUUGUUGUUUUGUUUUUCUAAUUUCCUUUCUGUAGAAUGUAGCAUCAAUAUUCUCAAAAAUAAUAAUAAAAAAAACCCUCUAAAAAAACUAUCAUAUUGUCUAUUGUUUUUCUUAAAUCUAUAAAUGUUUUGCAGGUCUUAAGUCAGUUGUCUUGCUCCAGUUUUUGAUCUUUGGAAUAAACUUAUUAUUAGUAGCAUAUUAUUAUAGAUUAACUUAUUUUGGCUUUUAGUAUUUGUCCUGUUGUUCACAUGAUUUCAUUUGUAUGUUGGGAACCAAUUUUUUGUAAACAUCAAGAGUUCUUUCAACACUGACACAAUUGCAAGGAAUUUGAGGUAGGUUCUGUCGUACUUCUAUAAUAAAUUAUUAUAUAACAAGUUGAGUAGCUACAGAAAAAAAGGCCUUUUUAUAAGUUGGAAAAUGGGUACACUGCACAUUUCAGGUUAAUAAAAUUUAUAUGCUGUUUUGAGUGCAAGUUUGCAUAUUAACCAAAAGGGGGUUGAUUAGUUUUUUUCCUUUUAUUCUUUUCAAAAUGUUUUUUUUUUUGUAUAUUAGCAAAUAUCCAUUAGUAAAAAGUAUAAAAUGUUCUCUGAUAACUUUCUAUUAGAAUCAUAGAAUCAUAGAAUGGCCUGGUUGAAAAGGACCACAAUGAUCAUCCAGUUUCAACCCCCAUGCUAUGUGCAGGGUCACCAACCACAACACCAGGCUGCCCAGAGCCACAUCCAGCCUGGCCUUGAAUGCCUCCAGGGCAUGCCUCCACAACCUCCUUGGGCAACCUGUUCCAGUGCGUCACCACCCUCUGUGUGAAAAACUUCCUCCUAAUAUCUAACCUAAACCUCCCUUGUCUCAGUUUAAAACCGUUAUGUUAGAGAAGAUUCAGCAAAGGCUUAAAUUUCUUUUGUCUUACACUGUAAACCUGGAUAGUGAAGAAAAUAAAAUUGUCAAGAAUAUGGUAUCUGCUUGUAAAUAAAAUACUGUCAUUCACAGUUAGACAUAAAUAUGCAGAGGCUAUAGCUGUGAGAGCUAUUUAAAAAUCAGAAGUCAGAAUGCAGUCAUGUUCGGAGGAGUAACACAUAAAAAGUUAUCCCUCAAGAACAUUCCCUUCUAAAGUGUAACCAAAUAAAUAGAAUUAUUUCAUGUAGUGCUGUAUAAUUGAGAUGACUUAGAAUUCCCCCUCUUAUAACACUUUUGAUCUAGCUGUUAGGUGUGACAGGGUAAGGUUAAUUCUCCUUCUCCUAUCACAGGUUAGGAAAGACUUAGUUCUAAGAAUUAAAGGCUCAUUAAAGGAGGAUGGCGAGACUUCUUUUCCAGUGUACACAUUAAUUACCGUAACACUCAGUGAAUUUAUGUUUGCUGACAAAAUGACAUACCUUGUUUACAUAUCAGUGGAAAAAAAAAAAUUGAGUUUCUGGCUGAUUGAAACUGUCACUUUCCUCAAGUAACUACUCUAAUGAAGUAAAACCAAGGAAAACAGAGCAAGAUUUUGUAAAAACAUAUACUUCUUCUAUAAGCAAAACAGCACCUGUUUCUUUUUAGAAAGAAUGUGAAUUGAACACAAGUCUUGAAAAAGUCACUAAACUCGUGAUCUGAUCUACCGUUCUGGACCUUAUAUGACCAUCUACUGAAUUUCUGGCUUUCCACUGAUGACAACAAACACCUUUGUAAGUAAAAUUAACAUAGUGCUCGUACCUUAGAUUUUGAGGUGAGCAAUGCCAGGGACAUCUGCAGCCACAGGACAGGUAAAACACUUCUAUCCUCCUCCAGCAACACAUCAGAAUUCUUGGUAAUUAAGAAAGGCUAGAGAAUACAUAUGUCAGCAGAUCUAUGUGGUUUUGUUUCCACAGGAAUACCUUAUCCUUCAUUUUAUUUUGCCCCUACUAAUUCUUUGCCUCAGCACACAGAAAAAUAACUGCACAACUGCAGUUUCAGAUACAUGUUACAAUCCUGCCUUCUGCUCAGUAUAAAAUAUUUUUACUCACCUCCCAGUGUGCAGUCCAGUGAGAAUAAAAUACAUUGCUAAGAAAUUAUUAAUAUAUGCAACCUUACUUGACUUUCCUUUUAGCUGCUGAAAUAAGAUACUUAAUUUCUUUACAAGUCUGUGUGGAUAGAUGUCUAGAGUUUAUGAACUGUCAAAAGUGUGAUUUAAGGAUAACUAGCAGAGCUGCAAAGCAAACAAGAAGCUGCUCAGCACUGGGUAGUGACAGUGCUUGUUUAAAAUCUGUUUAAGGAUCCACUGUUCCUAUUACGAUGUACAGUGCAUCUGUAGAAUUUUUCUUACAGAACAGGCAUCUCCAGGGCAUUAUUAUCACAAAGUUAUAAAUAAAGUACAGAAAGUUUUCAGUAUAUUUUCAAAACACAUGGUACUAGGAAUAGAUUAAGGAGUUUACUAUUCGUGAUCAAAGACAAUAGCUAAUGCUGCUGUAGUGGUGGUGAACAAAAGCAAAUUUUAAAAUGCUCUAUUAUUUCAUGCUUUAAAAAAAAAAACAAAAACAAACAAAAAAACAACUCAGUAUCAUCUUAGAGGUUAUUUUUUCAAGAACUAAUAAAAAAUACAAUGUAAUUAUUUUAAUACUUAAUUGUCACCCAAUCUGGUAAUGAAGGGAAAUAAAAAGCAUUAAGUCUUUCAGAAACUUUUUCUCCACAUAUUUACUAUCUUUUCUAUAAAUUCAGAAUCUGGUCUGUGCACUAUUUUUGGACUGUAAGCAAUCCACAGAUAAUCUGGUACUAGCAUUCAUGUCUGGAAAUUUAGUAUCUUUUGGCUUGUUUGACUGAACUUGCAUGAUAGUCCUGCUGGAUGUGGGUACUUAACACAUCACUAGUCCUGUUCAAAUAUUAUUCUGCGUGAUUUUUCUCUGACUGUCACUAAAAUUCAUUCUUUCUGUAAGGCUAUGUCGACGGUUUACGGGCUGGUCUGGCCCGGUUCCAUGACUAGUGGGGCGGAGGGAUUUUUUUGCAACAUCCGUGCCUCCGGAAAAGAGAAACAGGGGACCCCCCCCCAAAAAAAAAGAAUAAUUAAAAAAAAAAAAAAAACAGCAGCAACGAUCUGAGGAGAAACAAACUAAUUUACUAAAUACAGUAUUGGAAUGCACGAUAACACACUAUAAUACAAUAUAAUUCAAUGUAAUUGUUAAUAAAAUCAAACAUAAUUGAGAGAAGGAUUGUCCAAGAGCUAAAGGCCUUACACUAAUACUGAAGCCUUGUGUGCAGUCUGGAGCAGCAGCGAGACAAUCCGCAAGCGAGCAUGAGACGAGAAGAAAGGGAAGAGGACUCACUCAGGUCAGGUGACCUACAGGCCUUAUAUCUGUUCCCCUGAGCAGGAAUGGUAACUACUCGAACAGUCUUCUGGGGAACGUAGUUCUUCUCUUCUGGACAAGUACCCAGAACUAGAGCAUUUGCUCUCUAACUCCCAGUACACUGCAUGAUGUUAUGAUGUGGAAUACUGAUAACCAAAAAUCAUAAAACCAUGACAGGCUAUGAUCAUGGAAGAAAAAAAAAAUGGAACAGUAGAUGUCUUAGCAUAUUUUUUUUUUUACUGAUUUGACCAAAUAUUCACACAGAAAUAUUUCUAAGCAUUCGCUAACUGGCAGGCUAACAGUGCCUUUAUAUCCACUAAUACCAUCUCAUGGGACAAGAAUCGUUGCCGGACCUCACCUCCUCCCAGACUCUUCAAUGCUCAUUCUUUUUGAGUGACAGGCCUCUGCCCAUGUGUUACCCACAGCAGAACUCCCAAGAAAAUGCUUCUUUAAACCUGGUGGUGAGUCUACAGCAUCUUGUAUUCUGUAUUCCUGCAUCUAAAACUCCUUCUCAGAAGCACAUCCCUUAAAUUGCUAAAUGGCAGUACAUUUGAUUCUUUCUGGUAUGAAUGCCCUACAGCUACCACUUUUUGUCUGAGCUCUGAAGAGGCAUUUCUGUCUCUAUUAGCAUGGCAAGCCAAACUACAAUUUGUCUCUGCAUGAUGCUUCUCUAUGGUACUACACCACUGCACAACGACUCACAAUCUCUCAAAGAACCAUUUUAAAGAAAACUGCAAAACAUUUGUUCACCUGCAUCUCUCCGUAAAGCUUACCCCUGUGAUAAGCAUCAGAAACGUGCCUGCCUCAGGUGUGCCAAGCAAUAGUGCAGUAUCACAGAUCCAGCACUCAGCGGCCAUCUUUGUGUUUUUCACUUCCCUUUGGAGAUGCUGGUCAGUGAUUUCCUUCCCCUCCCAUUCCUUCCCACACUGGGUUUGCCCUGAGUUUUGACUGUAAAUCUUCAAAAUGGAAAAGCAAGGGUAUAACCUGGAGAUAGGCAAAGUGGGGCAUCCCUAAAUUAACAAUUCUAUUUCCCAUUCCAGAACUCUUAGUAUGUUCUUGGAAAUAUCUCUAAUCACAGUCUGGUUCUCUUCUUCCUUCGUUCAUUGAUUAUUUCAAGCAAAUUCAAGAUGAAAAUAUCAGGCAGUUAAACUGAGAUGUAUAUAAUAUCUAUGAAGAAGAUAUCCCCCCAAGUUCUAAUAAAGUCAGAGACACUUUUCCUGCUGGUUAGGUUCCACUCAGUGUAAGCAAGAAUCAGAAUAUGACCCUGUACUACAGUUGUUAGAGAAACCAAGAGCUGUUUAUCUUAACUACUACAUUAACUAAGCAUGAUUAUUUUUAAUUGAAUGAUUGUUGAAAGCAUUACAGGUGGCAUAAAGGAAUUUUUGUAAGCAGGAACAAAGGAAAAGGACCUGAUCCUUUAGCCACCCCAGGGAGACAGCUGAUGGUGUAUUUGCAGUUUGAGGCCUUAGAAGAGUUCUCAGUGAUGUCCUUAGAGCUUAGCUAACAGAUAAGAGUUUCCUAUAGUUCAUUUCCUAAGCUACUUCCUGCUGGUCUACAGUAUUACAUCCAUCCGUCUCAUCCUCCGGGCUUCUUUGUGUUGUUUUUUCACCUGCCAUACCUAAAGGCACACUACCGACCUCAUUUAAUCCUGAAGAGCAAGGAUGCUAAUUGAGUUGAAAAUGGUAAUGAUGCAUCUAAUUUUCUCAUGUCUGUGUGCUCCCCCUCCUUUCAGAACACCUGACAACACCUGCAUCCCAGAACAAGGGCUUCAACAUGUAUUUUCCUGUGUUGCGCCCAGCUACUCCCUUGACCUAUUAUCUGUGGCAAGUUACAGUGAAUCAAACAUGAUUCCCUCCACAUUUCUCUUCAUUCUGUUUCUGAAUAAGAGCUGAUGUAUGCUCAGGACAUUUUUGUAUUUGCUGCCACAGUUAAAGCAUAAUUAGCUACAUGAAAAAGAAGGGGGAUUAACCACCUCCACUUAGCUGAGACAUUGUCACCUUUAUACUUAAGGCUGCUAUUUGGUUUUUCAGGUAUUUCAAUUGCCAGUCAAGGAGCAGUUUAAGUCUGUAAUAUAAUAAUACUUGCAAUUACUAGUAAAUAACAUUUUACAGCGUUAACUAGCCUGUCCUUACAACAUCCUUUCCAGGCAGGCAAAUAAAUGUUAUUAUCCUCAUUUUACAAACACAUUGAUUAAGUGACUUGCCUAAAGGCCACACAUCAAUUUCAAUGUCAGCGCCAAGAUUAGCACAAAGGAACUUCUGCAUUGCAGUCCCAGGAAAAGGGAAAAAAAAAUAUCUGUAAUAUUAAGUGCAUCCUCCCCUAAAACAAGCAAUCACUUUUCAGACGCUCAGUCUAAAUAGUGUUUACCUGCUUUGCAUCCCCUUAAGUCCUGUGCUCCGCCCACCUGUUAAGUGCUGCUUGUUAAUGACUCAAAAUGGUUCCCAGCCUGCCGCUAGUAGGGGAAGCUUUUCCUUCACUUGCUAGUUUCAUCCCAGUCGCUGGCAGGUGCUGUCUCAAGAACCUGCGAAGCUUCCAGGCUUACAGCUGAACCUGUGCUUAGACAAGUGAGGAAGGCUUGUGCUGCUCCUUGAAGGGCAGCCUCAGUAUGAUCACGGAUUUGAAGCAGCAGCAGUUGCAGCAGGAGCACGAUUAGGAAGAAAUUAGAAUGAUCUUCCACCAUUUAAUAGAUCGUUGGCCUCUCCAACCGAGCACAUUUUCAAUUUCUAGGCUGUGUACAGCCAGCACAGUUGUCUUUCCUAUUGCUGCUGUAGCUACUGUUUGGAAAUUGUGGUAGCUGGAAGGCAGUAUUGGAAAUUGAGCCUUCAGCUCUAAAACACAUUAACAUCUCUAGUCCUCAAUCUCUUGAGCUACUAAGUAAAUUGCCCUAUUUCAAAGCACCUGCUUUUAUAUUUGGAAGGAAUUUUGGUUUUGAUCGUUUGUUUCAGACUGAGGCAUUAUGUCUCUGUUCCUUUCCUGACUGAUGAGCAAUGCAGACCUUACUGCAUACGUGUAUUUUAUGACGUGUGGAAGUAUAGCAAGUAACACUGUAGUACACAAAAAUCUAUUAAACACUGUAGAAUUUCCAACGUUAAAACCCUGCUAUGUUUGCAGGCAGUUAUUGCUUAGGGAAGGGAAAAAAAAAAAACAAAACAAAAAAACCAGCAGCAAUUGCUUGCUCCCCACCCCCCACCAUAACAUAUGUUUCCUACCUGUAAAGACAAAACAGAGAAAGUCACUCCAGCACUUUCAGCAGCUAAUUAAGGCCAUUCAUGUGUUAAGGGUGGCAAUGUUUUCUCCUGACUUAGGCACUGUUUACAAGAUCUUCAUGACUCAACUUCUAAAUGUGACAGAAAACCAAAAUAAUUGUGAAUCUUUUGAACUUCGGUAGCAUUGUUUGUCAGUGGUUUCACAGAUCUGUCAUUAAAGCCUACGGCAUCAUUUGCAAAUCCCUUAAUUUGACCUAGUCAUUGAAACUGAUACUGUGCCAAUGUCUGAAAGCAGAUACAUUGAAAAAUUGUCCAGCAUUUAUGAUAGAUACUGGUAUUUCAGACCAGAGUCCCAGGCAAUUAAUUAUAUUUUUAAUAAGCAUACAUAACAAAGUUAAAUUUAGAAGUAGACUUUGAAAUGGUUGCCAAGUUUUUAACUGAAGGUCAUUUGUACUUUUUUAUUUUUAUCCCAGGUGGAGAGAGUAUGCAUGUCUAGAUACUCAAACGAAAUGUGUAGACUUAAGUACAAAAUACCUCAAAUAUUAGCCACAUUAAUUACACGUUUUUUUCUUUCCCUUUGAGAGAUCAUUUCUUGCAUUAAAAGAACAAUGCUCAAUUGAUUGCUUGCAAACCAUCUAUAGAUUGCAGUAUCAGACACAUUCAUCAGGUUUACGCCUGUCAAAUUUUUAUGUUUGUUUUCAAAUUUUUAACAGCAAAAAAUAAAACAUAUUUAUAAAUAAAUGCUUAACUGUGUUUGUGUUUUUGGCAGUGUAUUGGCUUGGCUUCUACGCAUCUCUGUCAUCCUUACUCUUCCAUAUCAAACUGUGUCACUUAAAGAGACACAUUAAACCGUAAUAGAGGGGUACUCUUGCUGGUGAAAGAGCAAAUCGUGGCUUCAUGGCCAUAGAUGUGAUUGAGUUCUGAAGCCUGAUAAAUAUUUUAUCAUGACACAAUUUCAGAUGCUCAAGGGCUUCACAAUUUUAAUUGUGUUUUAAUUAUAGCACCUCCGUUCAAUUAUGUUCUCUGCCUACUUCAGAUAUAAGUACUUCAGUGUUUUAAAUGGUAUUUUGGCAAAACUCACCUGCAAGGCUGCUGCAAUAUUCGGGGUGUGUCCUGUAACCUUCAGCAGUAGUUUUGUAUGUAGUUUUACACACAAAUAUAUAAUCAAGAAUAAAAGAUGAGGAAGUACUACGAAAAGCAUUAAAAUAACAGAAGAUCAUGUGUUAGCAUGAAAAUGGCAUGUUUUUCUUCUAUUUAGCUUUGCAUUCUGCAGUACAAGUAGUACUAGUGUUUUGUGAGGCAUGUUAUGCUGCACAGCAUGAACUUCAUUUGUGAUUCCUUAAGUACUACCAUGAACACGACUAUUGAAGAAAAUAAGUUUUCUUAUAGUUACUUUUGUUCUGUAAUUUGUAUUACUGCACUUCUCUUAAACUCUAUAGCACCUCAUUGCUAAAAUUAAUUAAUUAAUUAAGAAUUAAUUUUGAGUAGGCACUUGGAUUCCAGUCUGCUAAGGGCUUAGAUCCAUGCUUAUCUUCUCAAACUCUUAACACUCUCACUGCUUUUUUUUUUUUUUUUUUUUUUUUUUUGCAUUUAUGUCUAAGAGCUAGCUUAAAACCGUACUACAUCAAUAAGACUUAAACAUUUUAUAAUGUUUUUCGCUCAAUUUUGGUACUCAGAUGUUCACUGACAAUUCAUCUCUUUCAUUCACUUCCAAAAUCUACUCCUGAUUUUAAUCAGUAUAUAACGUCAGUGUGUAAUGGAAUGUUCAGGUGUGCUUUCAAAACAAGUUAAAAUUACCUAGUGAAAGCCUUAUUUACAUUUUCAGAAGCUCUUACAAAUAAAAUUAUUUGUGUUUGUUCAGAAGUGCAAGAACUAUGGGUGAAACUGUCUUUGUUUCUGGUGCAAAAAGUCAGGCUAGAUGAUCAAAACACUCCCUUGUGGCCUUAAAAAUCUCUGAUGUGUUUUAAAGCUUACAAUUGCCACAUCAGAUCAGUGAAAUGUUAUCUUUGUUUCCAAAGAACAAGCCUCUGUGAUCAUUACUGCUCUGUUGGCUGAUCAUUUUAAAUUAACAUAGCACAAAACAAUUCAAAAAAAUCAAUUCAUAUUCUUAUCUCCAGAGUUACAGUUUUAAAUGUGGGAAAAAAAAUGGAGUCAGAAAAUGGGAUUUGCAUGAAUAAAAUGCCUUAUACCUCCCAACCACCUCCUCUAUUAUCUCAUGGUGCUUUUCAAAUAAAUGAUUCCAUGUAACUCAGAACUUCUAAAGGGAUUUGAAGGUUAUUGCAUUCCAUUCACUUCCAAGUAGAUUGGAUACUAAAAAUAAAAAGUAAUGACAGAGCUUACCUUUCCUGACUCUGGAACUGAAAUGGUAAAUAUUUAAUAAGGGAAACUCACUUUCCCAAAGUUUUGUUCAUCUCUGUCUUUCUCGCUAAUAAAAAAGCAAAAUGAGUUUCUAAGCAUAUAGCUAUUCUGAUACUAUACUCAUGGAUGAUCAUCUUUCUAUUGGACAAAUGCAAAAUCCCUGUCCUGCAUAAACGUGAGGAUUUUUUACUGAUGAGAAUAGCUCCAAUAAAGACAAUAAAGACAACUGAAAAUCCCAUGGGCAUAUAAGAUACAAUACCAUAACUAACUUGACCUGUUUUUAUCUACCUUACUAAAUGUCUUGGUAUCACUGAAACAUCUGCAAACGUCUUAUAUAGGUAAUACCAUAUAUUUUAAAAUGUAUGAUAUAUACAUCCGUGAUUAUUUCUAAGUAUGCUUCAAGUACACUUGAAAGUAGUGCACACAGUGGAGCAUUUCUGCUUUAGUCCAGUUUUCAAAUAUAGAAAAAUACAAAGGCAUCUAAGUUCUUCCUUUUCAAGAUCUAAAUAACUGAAUAUAAUUUGUUUCUAAUUUUGAUUGUUAUAAGACAUUUACCUAGAAGAAAACUAUUAUAACAAAUCAUAAUGUUUUGUGUGUUGCUCAAUGAACAAAAGAAUCUUUCUACUAGGGGCCAUCAUCCCAAUGAGACUCUAUAGCUCCUUUCGAAAAUCUCUCCAAUUUGCAUAGCAUUAUUAGCAUAAUGUAUUUGGCUCACAUAAAGAGAUAAAUAUGGGUGUGCCAGGAAGACUUCAUCAAAUAUGAAGUGAGUAUGAACAAAAACACCAAGCUGGAGAUCUCAGCUCCCUCUCAACUCAUCUUCCCAUGCAGGCUCUCACUCAGAUCAUUGAUCUCUCUCUCAGUGCUUUCGAUGACCCCUGAUCUUUCUUUUUUUCUUUUCUUAGCCUUAAAAGUGAAAACAUUGUUUUGAAGAAAAUAGCUGGAAUAGGAAAAGUAAGUAAAAGUCUCAACAAAACUCUAUUGAUCCUAACAGUUUUCUGCUAAAAGCAAAUGCCUAUACCAUUUACUCUGGAAAAUUGAAUGAGUUCUAAAAAUGGCUUACAUGUAGCAGAGAUAUUCUUUACGACUUUCCCACUUCAUUUAAAGGUAAUAUGAGCUGGGUCACAAGUGAUAACAUUAUAAUAUCCUCUGGGAAUCAGAUUACCUAGGAACUUCUUACCUGGCCUUUCCUUGGCAAUGCAACCGAGACAAAGCCUUGGCACAGAAAUGGUUCUCACAUAAAUCUGCCUUGUGUGCCACAAGCCAGCCACAUGCCCCAUACAUGCUGUUCACAUACCACCCAUAUAUAUUAUAAUAAGAAAAAUUGAGGUUCUAGGUAGCACUCAAAAGUGCCAGAGUUUACAAGCACACAAAACCACCCCACAGAUAGCAUAUCCACUGCUAUUGGAGACAAACUGACUUUACAUUUCCUUUUAUUAUGUAAAACUUCAACAGGCUGUUCAAAAAUCCAAACUGUGGAUUUACGACACUUGAGGAAAAGCUUUGUGAAACACAAGGACAGAUUAUUAGUUGUCUCCUACUUAAUAACCACUCAGUUUUUGUAAACUGCUGAAGUUUUACUUAGUUUGUAACAUCUAUCUUAGCUAACAGAUUGCUGGCUACUUUUUCGCUCUUGAGAAACUAAAUUUUGACACAAGAUGGUGAAUCACUACGUAUUGAUGUUGCUGUUACAGAUUACUACAUAUCUACUUUUUUUUUUUUUAAGAAAAGAAAAGCAAUGUUUGUUUUCAGUUUGAAAAGGGAAAAAGAUUUUUUUUUUCUCUUUUCAAAAUAUUCCCAUUACAUCUGUUUCUGUACACUCAUUUUCUUGCUUUACAAUUUUUACCAUUAAUUCUAGAUUACGUUCAGGCUUACAAUGUGAAAUAGUGACUUUACAGCAGAAACACAUUGACUUCUACCACUUCUUUUUGUGGCUACAGGUUCAUUUUACCCUCCAAAAUAUCCAACCUACAUUAUAAUUGUUAGAUCUGUAUUCCUUGGCUAGGAAUCCAACAUUUUAUUUCUUUAAUCUCUCCCAAGACAAAGUAGUGAUGUUACCAAAUUCUUCCAAACCUUGCGAACUACUCACAACAAUAUCAUUAUUGUUAUUACUUUUAACUCUUCCUUACAAAAAUGGGUGAUUUGGGAGUCCAAAAGUGUUAGAGGUACUGAUACCAGUUCCUUCUUUCAGCCUAAUAGUCAGUCCUUCAGAUGAAGACAAGAUUGGUUCUUGUAUUUCCUGAUGGAAAAUUUUCGGUAGAGCUAAUUAAAUAGUCCCUGUAGCUCCAGGUUAGAGCAUGUCACAAAAUAUGUUCUGUUGUGUUGAUUCUUUUUUUUUUUUAUUAUUAUUAUUACCAUUUAGAUGUUUGAAAUUGUAAGUGUAAGAUAAAUGCAACUUUUUUUUUUUAAACUUCUGAUUCAGCAGGUAUUUUUAUCAAGUUAUCUCUACAUCUCCAAGCAAGUAAUACUGUGCCUCAUUAUGUCUAUGUGCAAAACGAGGAAAAAAAAAAAAAAAAAAAACCAAAAAACACUAGAAUGACUUUUAGGAGACCAAGGAGAAAAUUCAAUCCCUCUUUCCCCCAGUGUUGCUUGAUUUGCCCCAUCUCCUGGACCAACUUUCAAAUAGGUUUGGUUAUUGCGUGCCUGCUGAUGUGUAUUUGUUUGUAUUGUCUUCUCAGGAAUUUAAUUUCACAUGCUACCAACACAAUCGUGUCACUGCAAUUUAGCAUGCAUUUUGAUGAUGUGUUCUAUAUCUCAUUAAAGUCUCGUCUCUUUAGCCAAUACCAUAUGCUACUCAUCUGUAGAAAAGCUCUUAAACAUAAUGAAAAAGGUAUAAUCACAAAUGAGAAGGCAAAUGCUGACAAACAACCCACAGGUAUUCAAGUUCCAUGACACUACUGAAAGAAAAUAUAGUGCAAAAAGAAAGCCUUUUAAAUUUUUUAGAAUCGUUAUCUGACAGGAAAAAAAUGUUGAGCUUGGAGGUACUCUUCAGUUACUCUAUGCAACUCCAUUGCAGCAUUCUCAGAUCACGAGACAAUGAUGUACCAAUGUAUAUGUAGGAGGAAGAUUUGUUUUUAACAGAGAUAAAAGUUUCAAGUUAUUGAUAUAUAAUACUGAACAAUUUGUUUUCAAAAGUGCUAAUUUAAAGAUUAAAAUAUUUUGAAAAUAUUUUGAGACUAUUAUACCUAGUUUUUCUUUUCCCUCAGAUUUUGAUUUUUUUGUUUUUUUGUUUUGAGCCACAAUGGGAACUUUAUAUAUAUAUAUAUUUUUCUGUAUAUAAUCAUUAUGAGAACAGAAUAAAAGAGUUAGUGGUGAUCAUCUGUAUCAAGAGUAGUAGAAGAGAUAAGCCAAGUUCUGACCUCAGACGUGAAUAUAUGACUGUCAGUAAUCAAAUUAAAGUGCAUCUGGGUUAGGUAAGAAAUCGAGUUUAGAAAGAGGACCAGAGAGACAAUUUCUAUCUACUCAGUAUCACUACUAAUACUUAAAUUCUUAAAGUUAGAGAGAUGCCAGCCCUGAAAGGACCUCUAUACACAUAUGAUGCUAGUUUUACCGUAAAGAUGCACUGAGACCCUAAAAGUUUUGCCUAGGCACAUGAAGGCCUAAUCCCAGCCUUCUGGUCACUGGUCUCAGGGAAGCCAGGACAAUGCAGAAGAGAGCUGUGCCUGGGCAUUGCCCAGAGCUGAGGACACCAUGACAAGGAAGUGCUAGAAACACAGUGACGAUGGCUAGGGAGGCUGCCUAGUUGAGCACGUAAUCCAGAGUGGAGAACACUUGGAUGAGGCUUGUGAGCAAAUGGUUGAUGUUCACCCACAGUUUUGUUCCCCACCUUUGGGAAAUAAAAGCCAAGCACAGGUUUUUGUAAGCAGGACUCCAGGACUUGACUCCAGUCCAUCUCUAAUUAAAUCUAAAUUAAAUUUCACCAAGCAGAAUUACCAGGGCCUAAACAGACCUGGUGAUAAAUCCUUCUUCCUGGUGCUGACUAGUAUUCACUAAAGACAAAGAUCCACUAACGAGGAACGGUUUUGUCUGUUCUUGGUAUGUUAAUUCAAAUCAUAAGAACUAAGCUAGUAGGUUUCUUUGGAUGGACAGUAUAUUGCAUGUGUUCAUUUAGUCACAUAUUUUAAUUGUACAGAUCAUGAAAUAUAUUUGGAAUUAUAUUUGGAAUUAAGAGUUCUUAACAUAAGAUAGCCAUGUAUGCAAAAUCAAAGCUUUUAUACAUUUCUUUGGUAACAGCUUCUUUAAAACACACUCAUAUCAUGGACUUUCUCCUGUCAAAGCUCUGUAAAUGGUUGCUUUACUAAUGGCUACCUUAGUCUCACUAUUUAUUUUUCCUUUUUUUCUGAGAGUAUAAUCUUUUUUAUCUCCACCUUCCAUCUGGAAAUAACCUGCACUGAAUCAAAUGCACCUUUUUUAAAGUGCAAUUUUUAAUUAAGCAGUCUUUUUCAUUUAUUAUUUUUUCUCCUAGGAGGCUCUGAAGCUUACUCUGUUUCUGCCUGAGUAUACAUAGAUUAUUGGCUUAUUUUGUCUUUUUAUUUUUAGACUCGCUUUGAACAAACUUUGAUGGCAGUAUGAAAGUUAAUAAGGAUCAUAUGAUCCUUUCCUUCCAGCUGUAAAUGUAUGAAUAAUGGUCAUUUUGUGAAUCAAGCUCUGCAAUAUUCAGUUAAAUAAAUAAAUAAAUAAAUAAAUAAUACCUUUUCAUUAAUCGUUGACAACAAAUUAGUAUUCUGAAAACAAAAUGACUGCAUUCCUAGGACAAUAUCACUUUCUUCAUGAAAUUUAGUAGGUGACUGAAAAUUUUAUAUGCCGCAGUUUCUGAAUGCCCAGCUUAAAAUUGAAAGGCUCAGAAUAAUAGGAGAAAACAAAAUUGUCUGAAUGUAGUUUAUGUAUCAAUAUAAUUCUGUGCAUUGUGUGGUGCUUAGAUAUACAAUGAAACUUGCAGUCCCAGACACAAUAAAAGGUCAUUUCUGUGGCUUCCUUGUAUCUCAGUCUUUCUUACAGUCUGUGGAGAGCAUCUGCUUGUUCUUAGUCCAGGCUGUUUGAUAGUCUGAAGCUCUGGAGCAAUACUGCUUAGUAGUCAUUAGAAGUUAUUAUGGAUUUAUUCUAUAAUAAUGAUUAAGAAAUAUCUAUUCCAGAUGUCUGCACAAAGCUUUAUGUGCUAAGUAGAUAUACUGUGAAUUAAUAAAGCUAUUUCUCCUGAAUGUUGCUACCAACAGAAAAGGAGCCAAUUAAUUCCACACAACUUUUAUUAUUAUUUAUAAACUGAUUCUUAAAUAGAAAUGCUUACAUCUGCCUCUUGCUCCAGAUGGUGCAAUUUAGCUGCCUAUGUUACUCAUGAAUCGUCUUUGGUUUUAAACAAAUUCUUAACUCAGCAACUGUCUUAUCAAUAAUUCUCCAUUUCUUACAAUUGAAACCUAAACUGCACUGAUGCUUUAAUUCUCAGAACAGAGAAUUUUCUGUCUCGUGGGUCAAAAGUACAAGGAAAAAAAUAUUUUUAAUAUUCCACUGAAGCGGUCACAGUUGUAAAACUGCCUGGUACUGUACCCUCAGGUUACUAGCAAAAAUCCAGGCAGCAGAUUGAAUCCAAAAUUCUCAUGAGGUCUGACCACAUGCAGAUACUGGGACAGACGUUUUAUUAUUAUUAUUAUUAUUAUUAUUUUCCUAGCACAUCAUCUGGUCAUUGAGUUUACAUUUAUGUUCCGGGCCCUAGACGUACUAUUUCCAGCUAAGAACAAAUGCUUCAGCUAUAUAACAAUGCUAAGUCCUUGUCCUAAAAGCUGCCCAGGAGGAAGCAAUGAGCAGGCUUCCAGCUCUCUGCCAGGAUGGUCAGGUGCUGGAUGCUAUUUCUGUAGUUAAGAACCAUUGUGGGUGCAGCUGCUCCGAGAUACUGAGGGGAGGAGGGAACAAAAAAAAACAAAACAAAACAAAGCAUAUCAAAAUCAAUACGUAGGCAUUAUCCUGUAGGAAUGUAAAAAGUGCAGCAAGUAUAGUCUGGCAAGGUCCUAGCAAAGGUUCAACCCAGAUCCACCAUAAGUGUAGCCCUGAUAGAGACCUUCAGAUGUGAUUCAGCUGUCUACUGGAAUAAUAAGCAGAAAUGACUAAAAUACACUUCUGCUAUAUUAUGCCAUGGCUGUAAUUCUUGCCUUGAACCUUUAUUGCCAGUUACAUGUUUUGAAAUGAUUCUAAAAGGUAGGAUUUAUUUAGUUAUAUUAAAUAUAGGAUUAAUUCAAUUUGCCUUUGUAAAUCAUAUUCUUAAAAACCAACUUACACUGAAUUCAAAAUGGACAAUAUUCUUGAGACUUUCAGAAUAAAAUAGUUCUGUAGAGUUUGAGCUAAGCCCUUCAAAUUAGUAACAUGUAACUAGUCAGAUUAAAAACAAAGCAAGCAAUUGCUUUUCAAAUUAUUAUUCUAAAAAUGGACUGGAAUAAAAAUAAAUAAAGAACUUAAAUCUAUGCAUUCACAGAAUUUUAUUCAUGAGUGAUUUUGAAGUCAGUUUGAAAGCUAAAAUUUCAUUUGAAAGGUAAAAUUGAAAAUAGGGUAAUCUUGUAUUUAUGAUUUCUAUGUAUGCUACGUUUUUGGUUUUUUUUUUUUCCUUUUUUUUCCCCCAAAAUUAAGAAAAACACUUGAAAUGGCUUAAACCUGAUUUGACUUACUGCUUCUGUACCUCAGCUGGUAUGUCAUUUUAUUAUGAAACCUUCCUAAGAGAUUUAAAAGCUAUUCAUAGCUUAUUUAUACUUAGAUAGAAGAGAGUAGCCAUAACCUUACUGAUAAUAAUCGAUCUUGUGGUCAUGUAUUGAGUAUCUGAUUUUUUCUUUACCAGAGUGGGCAUUACCUGGGACUUGACCUGCUUUUAACUGAAGCUACUAGCAUAGCUGCUCCAAAGAGAUCUAAACCAAGGAGCAGAGCUGAUGUCUGUGGGAUGUGAAAUUAAAAGCCAUGUGACCAUAGGCAACAAGCUAACAGGAGAUAUGGGAUUAUAUUUUAGACCUAGGUGAUCAAAUUUUAGGUCUGUUUCAAGUAAUCUUCCUAUGACUAAGCACUUAACCCAAACUACUGAAAUGCCUUGGUGCAGAUUUGAUAAUUCUUUGGGCUUUGUGGUCAUGGUAUCUUUGUUAGUCUUAAAGCAGUCUCUCCAAGCUCUUCUAUCUUGUUUGAACAGUGACUGCAAGUUAAGGGGCACUUCCAGGAACUCUUUUUAGUCUGCUCUUGACCAUUUUUUUUCUUUCCACCUCUUACAGGUGACACUAUAGGAAAGCACUUUAAGGAAUGGAGAACCAGUACAGCAGUGGGUAGGACAUUGUUCUCAGCUGCGAAGUGCAGGUGAGGGCACUCCUUGUCAGCUCAGAUGCAAUGGUUAACCACCUAAGAGCUCUUCUGCUCCUCUUCCUUGGGAAGCCACAAUUCACAGCUGAGGCUGAAGACACAUAAUUAAUUCUUUGCUGUAGGGGACAUUUAACCUACUGAUAAAGGCAGACACUUAUGCUUGGGACAGUAAACUCAGAAUACCUGAAGUCAAAUAGUCUUUGCAAAACCAGUUUAAAUUAAGAUUAUACACUAUGUAGGCUUUUUAUACAGCUAACAGAAAAAAUGAAGGCAGAAUUGCUUUCUGAAGGAAUAUAAGCAGUAAUCAUAGCAGUUCCUCUCUGUCUGCAUAUGUUACAAUUAAGAAAAUUGGAUUUCCAGAUUCUUUUCUCAACCCAGCAGCUAGACACAGGCUGAAAGAAUUUUGGCUAUGUCUCAUGUCGGACACAGCUUUUAGAAAAUAAGUGAUUUUUUUUUUUCUUACUGUCAAUCUUCAGGUAUUUAAGAGUUCUUGAAAAGUUAGCAUCCUGUCACUAGGGGGGCUUUCAUUAAUUUGAUGUGCUGUGAUACCCAGCACAGAAUUAAAGGUGGGAAAUUCCAUCCUUCUUGUGAGAUUGAGGAGUCACAUCACCAAAAUGAAAGUACAUUUAGCAAAGCACCACCCGACUUUGCUCAGUAUGUUCACACAGUAUCAUGUCAUCAUCAUUUGGCAGAUAUACAGUUUUAAUAAAUCUGCUAAGCUGCCACUUCAGGCCAUUUUCUCUAAAUCUCAAAGAUCCAUGUGUUUAAAACUGAGAAACUGAAAAUGAUGAGUUGCUUGGUUUUUUUUUUUUCAGUCUACUUUUUUUCAACACAUCUUGACAGUGAACAUUUUACAGUCAAUAAAUGAUAUCUAAAGCUACCACAGGGAACCAGAGUCAUCCCAGAUACAAAUAGCCAAUUAUAAAAUGGAGCUCAGAGUUGAAUAAAUUAUUUUCUGACCCUAUAGGUGAUAAAGUGAUAGCCAACAGCACAAGUUUCAUUAUCCAUAUCUUUAUCACAGCUCAAAUGACUGAUAAUGUCAACGAUUACUUUGCUCAGAUAUUCAAAGACAAAUUUUCGGUAUGAAUCUAGCAAACUACAUUUUGAUCGCUUUGCUCCAGGUUUCUAAGACAGAGACAUAAACACUCUGAAAGACCUUACAGCUGUUGAUUAUGAGCUUGGACAGAAUUAACACUCAUACAAUAAUAAGACUUGUCCAAAUGAGCAUUAGGAUCAGAUACAGAUCAAGCAUGAAGCAAUUGUACCUAUCAGCCUCAUUAGCUAACCCUGACCAUCCUUCAUACUUCACAGAAGAACUUUCUGCAUUUUAAAAUACCAUUAAUGGGAGGGGGGGGGGGGGGAAGGGAAGUGUUUAGGAUUCCAAAUUAAUUGCUUCCACAUAAUAUUUUUCUAAUGUAUUUCUGUGAGCAUUGCAAAUAUCUGUUCAUAUUUCAUUUGGGCUGCUUUCCAAACCAUCAGACCCAUUCCUACAUACUACAAUACUGUAUCAGGUUUAUUUUAUACUAAAGGAAAAGUGCAACAGAGAAAUGCCCAGGGACAGCUAUUUUUUAGAAGUGACAGUUAAGACUUUGUUCAUCUUCUCAGCCAGUGGAUUCCUCCCAUUUAUUCAUGUCCCAGCAAAAUUUCCACUAUUACUCCCAACACACACAACUUCUAAUCAUUCAUAUACGAGAAAGAAGCAUUUCUCUGUAGUCAUUCUGCUUUGGUUACUGAGUCAUUACGAUUAGAGAGUUACUCUACGCAGUUCAAAAGCCUAUCAGGUAGAAGGAAUGGAAAUGAUAUACAAUAAUUGAUCAAAAGAUGGAAAUCGUGUAUUUGAAAUUCCAGUGUUUUGACAUUUAGUUUUUCAUCGCACUGAAAUGAGAAGUAAAUUUAACAAGAUUCUUUGCAAUAAAGAAAUUACACAAAACAUUGGGAAUCAGGGGAGGGGCUCAGAUAUUUUUGUUCAUUUGUUUUAAAAAGUAUUUACUAAGGGCACAGAAUCCUGCUGCAUUGUGGUCAAGAUAUCUCCUAGGUUAGGAUUUACAGCAUAGCAUGUAGAGAGAAAAUUUUAUUUUCCUGUGAUUAUUUUUUAUAUACAUAAUAUAUUUUUAUAUAUGUAUGUAUAUGUUUGUCAGAGCAAGAACUUCAUCAUGUAUGCAUCUUUUAAAUCCCAGACCACUCCUGUAGUUGCCAGGCUACACAUCAUUAGAGCCCAUAACUUUCACUGUACCCAUUUCAGCUCCUGGAAAACUAUAGGCUGUAAUGACUUGAAGGGAAGCAUUUUUCAAUAAAAUUUCAUCUAUCUUUAGCAGAAUAGCUUCUAUAUCUUUCUAGAUAUUGCCAAAGAGUGGGAGAACCUAAAUACAGUAGAAAGUGUUUUUCUGAUGUUACAAGACUAUAAAUAGGACAGUGCAGCAUGAGGAAUGAUACCCUAAAAUGGGAAGCUGAGCUAUUAUUUUAGGUAUUAUACAUGAAAAUGUCCCUUCUGGCUUGCCUCCAUUUGUGAGAAUGAGCCAUUUCAAUGCCCGCUUAGGCCUUUCAGUCUAUGAUCCUGCUUUUCUAUGAUUUAAAAUAGUAAAACUUUGACAUCCUUUUAAACUGCCAGUUCCUAACUGGCAAUGCUUUAUGAAUACUCUCUUCAAGAGACAAUUCUAAGAAGAACAGAACCAAGAAGUCUGCCAGAGAAAUAGAAUUAUGUCUAAAUCUUGGGUACUCUGUGAUGUAAGUUACUGAAAAAUGAAAACAACCUCAUGGUGCACAACAAAUGAGGUGUGAAGGAUUGGUAGAAAGAAUGAAAGGUAGUAUACUACUGUAAUAAUUCCAACAGUUUAAGGACAGCCUGUGAACUGAAAGUGCAUAACAGUUUAAGUAAGCACAAAGUUUGAAUGUCAAGAAAGGUCUUACCUAUGGUCCUUUAGAACAAAAGGCAUACUUCAUCUAUUAAUAAAAGUUUGAUCUUCAGCAUCAGACUUCAAUCAUAAGGCAGGACUGUCAUUGAUAUUGAAAGUCAAACAGUAUAAAUUAGUUUGCAUACAUGUAGAAGACAAAACAAAAGAACAAACACAGAUUUCCCACUUUCAUUCCUACAUAAUAUCUUUGCCAAAGCAUCAAGAUGCUUUUUUUUUCCUGAAAAAAAAAAAUCACUGUUGAUCACUUAUCCUUACUUAUUGCCUGGCGUAUGUAUACAAAAGCAGAACCUAAAGGUUCACUUAAAUAGAAACAACAGAAUGUCUCUCUCUACCGUGCUACUUAUCCCGUGUCUAAAAUGGGUACUGGCACAUACUCUGAGGUCCAUUUAUUUUGAGGUCCCUGGAAGCAUUAGAAAGCAAGAAUGUCCUGCUCAAUGCAGAUAUUGUUUGAGUGGCUCUGUGAGCUGCCAGGUGCUUGGUGAAGGUGAGGCUGGCAACCAAGGGUUCCACUUCUAACUGUAUUCGGGUCAUGACUUGGCUAUACUUCCUCUUAACAAUCAGUCAUGUUGGUCAGUGCCCUCCAGUUGGUGGUAGGCUUUAGAGUGUAUCUAUUACAUAUGCAUGAGGUUUGGAUGAUUGUUAGAGGGCCUUGCAAAACAUGCAGUAAGGUGUUUGUUUGAGAGCAACUCUUGCACAUGGGGCAAGAUAGACACAUCUAUGCAUGAGUUCCACCGUUAUCUUGACACAUGGGACACAAGGAUGACAGAAAACAGGAGUGUGACAGCAGUCUUCAAGGUCAUCAAACAACCUGGUUUUCAAAUGAAGGCUCGAGGAUGUAGCAUUGUCCAAAAAUGAAAAUAUCAGAAGUUCCUGAUAUAAAUAAUUCCAAAUUUAGUUCAGAAGUAGAAAAGGAUAAAAGAGGAGUACAUAACAUCUGAGAAUUAGGACAUAUACUGCCAACCCCACCAAAGUUACACUAAAAAAAUUACUUGCAAACAAGUAACUGCUUGUUACUUGCUGGGCAGUGAGACUGUUCCCAGUCUGCUCCCCUUAUUCCAGACACUGAAAUAAAGCAAAACUAAAACGUCUUCUAAAGCUCUCCAUUACGAAUCAGGAGCUUUCAGAUAGCUUAGAAGCACUUGUUUGCAGCAGCUCAUUUCUCAUAAAAAGCUUGUUGCCACUCUAGGGAGGAGUAAAAUCACUACUGAUGACAUUCAAAUCAUGGUCUGCCUUCUCAGCAAUUAAUUUUAAAUAUGAUUCAUACUCCAUUAUGCUCUGGAAACCAAAGAAAUUAUCCUUUAUUGUGUCUAGCCAUUUUUCAUCACUAUGGACUCAUAAUGACCAAUUUUACUCUUAUCUGUUAUAAUAAGCUUGAAAAUGUGCAAAAAUUAACCCGAAUGUUUACAUUUCCCUUUAAUUCAGCUUCAUAAGGAUUUCCCAGUGUAAAUAUACAUUUACACAAUAGAAUAGAAUUAUUAGCAUGUAACAUAUGUAAACAGCAUUAGCUUUUAAAUUGUUUAAAUAUUCAUGUUUGUAGAUUAGAAACAAGUUGGGUCAAUCUUCAGGGUUGGGUCCAACGCUACUGAACUUUGUCCUACUUACACAGAAAUCCAAAUAAAAGCAUACAUUUUAAUGAAUAUCUAAGCCAGUUUUAGGCUAUUUUAAUAGCUGUGGAGUGAUGUCUGAAAAUGAAUGGGUUUAUACCGUUCUUCCUCUUUUACAACACCAAUUUUUAGUUAAAGAUAAAAAAUAAAAGAAAGGUCACAGAGAAAAGGUCCAGGCUGACGUUUUCAGAAAUCCUGAUGCAAUUGCUUGUUUCAGCUGUGUGACUUUAAUAAUCUGCUGUCUCUGUCACUCAAAAUCUCACCUGUAAAACUGAGGUAUUUUUCUCCAAACAGAGCAGGUAUGCUGCAUGAAGUGGAGACACUCCUUCCUUUACCUGUUGGGGACAGGAUGUAUCCUCUUCCCUUGGGAGGCAGGUGCAGCUCUGCAUCCCAAACCAGGGCCAAAUUCUUCCUCAGAAGCCUACAUGAGAGGUUACUCUGCUGUAGUUCUCAUUAAGCUUCACUCACUGUGUGCACAGCAGCUGAAUGCUGCUUUCAGUCCAUGUCCUGCCUCCCACCCAGACCAGCCCCAUGCUGGCUAGGGGAUGCAGGAUUGAUACCACGGGGCAGCAGUGGUCAGCACACAACAAGGGAAACACGGCCUGACUCAUCCACUGGAAUAUUGCUCAAGGAAAGGAGUUAUGGCAUAACAAAACUUAUAAAUACCUGAUUUGUUUUGCUUUUUGAAUAAGGGUUACCACCCUUACCAGGUGGCAAUAGCAAAUGCCAUGGAGCUCAUACAGCUUGUCACCAGUAGAGCAAGUCCCACACCCCCCAUGAAUACAAGUUUCAGAGAGCACACUUCCAGCUUGAUCACAAAAAUUUGAUCUUAAAUUAAGCUCCCAACUUAACGGAGGGUAACUGGGGAUGUUAUUCCUAUUUUUAAAAUGUUACAGACGUUGCAAGGAAUGAGGGACAAGGGAUAGGUGUACAGGGCUCAGAUGCCCCAUCAGUGUCAGGGGGCUGCAGGGCUGUUUGAGACAAGGCAAGGACUGCCCCAUGCUGGACACAGACAGUUCGAGCCAACUCCAAUGGCCCCAGCACAGGGCAGGGUUGGGCCCAGCAGCUGCCCUGGGGUGAGGGCAGAAUGGGAGAGUGAGAGCGCAGCUGGGAGGGAAUUUGGGCUGAGCCAAGGUUAACCCACAGCAACAGACCCACAAGUUUUAAGACAGUUCCUAAGUAAAGGUACUUAGAAGAUGUACGUAUAGUCUGAAAGAUGCACAGAAAGAGCAUUAAUCGAAAGACUGACAGAGCAAGGACCAACAAAUGAGUUUAGGGUACUCUACAGAUACAGAGUCCAAUGCAAUAAUGGCUGCACUGCAUUAAUAACUGCAUGAAGCAACCACACAUAUGGAAAGCAAAAAAAUAAGGCAAGUUAGCUAACAAACUUACGAAAAAGCAGAGAGGUGCUUCUGAAGGAGACAAUCCCAUGGAAAGGCCAAGGGUUGUUCCCUUUUAUGGUCAGCUUUCUCUGCAUUUUUGUAAACUGCAUUUGAUUAUAACAGAAGAUAACUGAUGCAGAUUAUACAUUCCUAAUGAAAAUAACAAGGCAUCAAAUACUAGCUACUUGAUUAAGCAAAAGAAUGGUAAAACCAUGUAAUUUUCUUCAACCAUUAUUCUUAUAAUUCUAGCAUCUACCUGAUGCUAGACAUUUUCAGUUAUGGCCUCCAAUGUCAAACUUUCACUUACACUUUCCACAUUUCUCAAUUUUUUUAAAAUAUUUUUAAGGUAUGUUUGCACCAUUUAAAGAAAAAUGUUGAAGAUAUUGAAUUUGUCUCGAAUAAAUAAUCUAAAUUCUCACUUAAAAUUGAUCCCUUUUUGACCUCUGACUUGUCAGAGGAUGAGUAAUAAGCUGACAAAAUGCCUGUGCUUCCCAAGUCAUUUUUUGAUGGUCCCCUGACCAUUCCUAUCCUGCUAUAGAUACCUACCUUGCUUAAAGCCAAACAUCUUGAUCGUAAGUCAAUUAAAAUAACACCAGAGCAAUAAAAAAUAACCUGCAGAAACCAGUGAAGUCAAUUUAAUUGCCAAGUAGAAUUCCUGAGUUGGAAAACAGUACACAGAUUUUGUUAAUAAAUCUGUAAAUAAAGAGAAAAGAAAGGAAAAGCAAGCAACUAGGGUACUGCAUAGACACUUUCCCCUCACCUUUUUAAAUCCUGCCUCAAAUGAAUGAUACAAUUAAAAUGAAUUCUGAAGCAACACAACAUGAAUCUAUCUAUGAAAUUUAAUGUCCUAAAGAUGGUUCAGUCACUUGAACAAGACCACAAUGAGGGAAAAAAAUGUUAAUCUAAUUGUAAAACUUCUGACCAUUAAGUUAUUUACGUUGCAGGUAUUUGAUGCGUCUCUUUGCAAAGCUUUAAACGUGUAAUCUAGGAAAAUGGUUGUUUUUUUUCUUUUCUGUAAAAUGGCUGAGAUACUUGGUGGUAAGACAUUAAAAUGAAUUAUAUGGAAGUUGAUAUGUAGUAACAUUAGAUGCAGUUCAGCUGUUGAAAUUGUAAGCUGUUAAAGAACACUUUUCUCAAGCGAUUGACAUCUAUUUCCAGAACUGUAUCUUUGAGUAAUAUGCACGGGUAGGAAUCAUGCUGAAUUUUCUUCCACGAAGCAGCUCAAGCAAAGAUAUUCAGAUACUCAUUUAUAAAGUGACAGCUAGGAUCUCAGCAGGUUAGAAAGCCACAUGCUACAAAAAAAUUUACUGUAUAGAAACUGACCUAAGGAGGACUCUAAUUCCUGAAAAAUAUAACCAGAAACCACAUUCUACGUUGGCUUGCACUUAAUAUUGAAAGGGAGAAAUAUAGGACAGAGUAUGUAUGCACAGCAUAGUGCAUACAUUGUUUUGUAUGAGUUUAUUGUAUUUCAUUGUUUCCUUUUACAGUGGUCUUCAACAAUGAUCACUUUGGAAUCAGUAUUUAAUUUAUGAAAUACACACAACUCCAUAGAAACGAUGCCACAGAUUUCAAACAGCAUUGGAUCAAACUUGUGAGAUAACUGUAUUUUAACCUUGAACUGACCCCGCUCCUGCUCACUGUAUGAUCUGCUUUGUCUUAACCCUAUCGUCUUUAGUACUUUUGAAAGUUCAUCUGUGUCAACAAGGCAAAAGCAAAACUCUGAGAACAGCUUUAGUUCUUUUUCUUUCCAUGUCUUACUACAAAAAAUAAAAAUAAAAAAAAAAAUAAAUUCCCUGUGCCUGUGCUAUUUCUCUUGUUAUUACAAUUUACUUGAAGAUCAGUGCAUAUCUGCAUAAGACUCUUAAAUUGCUAAACAAACAAACAAAAAUUGAAAAAAACAUAGAAAUAGAAAUCUUCUAUAGUGCUUUUAUCAAAGCAUUUCCACAGAAAUGAUGCAUAUCUAGCUCCUAUGGUUCUUAACAACUUUAGCUCUUUAUAACCUUAGCUCUUUCAGGAUGUGAAAACAGUAGUCAUACUGCAGCAUAUGCUAGAGAGCACCCCAAUCUGUCCUAGGAUGCCAAAAAGGGGGAGAAAAGGAAUCCCCAACUAAGAAAACUUAUACAUUUUACUGAAUGGGAAGCUUAUUGUAGAGUUUUUGCUAAGCCAUUACUAUGGCUCUCUCACUUUGAAAUAGAACAUAAAAGGGUUUCAGCAUCAUGAAAAUCAAAAUACAGCCACCUGUUUUUGACAAUUCUCCCCCACACACAGAAAGUACAUUUAUUCUUUAUAUGCGUAUUUGUUUUGCAUGCUGUGGCAUUCUCUUACCAGACUUCUCAGUUACAGAAACAUGUCAGUUAAAAAUUAUUUUUACUACUCGCAAAUGCAUAUUUCAACUGGUACAUGGAACCAUUAAAAGUUUUGCUACACAGCAGCACCUGCAGAACUAAAUAAUUUUCUGCUCCUACUGUGAAGAGAUACCUCUAUUAUUGUCAGUGUGGUAUGGUAAACAUUGUAAUUCUGAACAUGCCCAUGGUACUGUGUGGCUGAUACUGUUGGAAUGCUCCAUGCCACAGAUCCUAUGUAUCAGCCAUCAGUCACUUCUAAUGUCAAUCUGUUGCUUUCUCCUGGAAAUAACUGAUAUAAUCUCACUGUAGUUUCUAUUAUAAGUCCAAUUUGUCCAUGCUCAUUAUGCAUAUAAACUCCUUUGCAUCAGAAUGAGAAUAUGAUGAAGACAGACAUAUUGAUACAUACUUAUCAAUACAUACACCCAAAUACAUGUUGUCUCUAUAAAAGCAAUAAUACAAAUGUAUUAUAUUCAGCUUUAAACAGAACUUUGGUAAUGUAGUUGUAGAUAUAUUGCAUAUUGCUUUUGGCACUACUAAAAAUAAGUCAUUUGGAUUAACCAUUUUCAAGAAGUACAUUUUAUAACUGGAACAUAUUUAUUCAAGUUCUCUUUUGGAUUAAUGCAAUUUGUCUGAGAGCAUGCACUAAUUUCUGUUCUCAGCAUAGCCUUGGGAGGUUAAAAAUGUUAAAUAUGAUUCUUUGCAGGUUUUAAUAUAUCAUCUUGCCUUAUGAAGAGUUGAUUAUCACCACCCAGUGGUGCUUACAUACUGAUAGAAUUCAUGAUUAUAUGUAUCCAAAGUAGUACCAAGAGUACCAUACAAAAGAACUGACUAUAUUCUAUGUAAGUAGCUACUUAAUUGUAGUCAGUAUCAUAAAAUAUUGACGAGUUCUCAUUCUCUUAAAAAUUGGAGCUUUUUGGUCAAGCAAACUGCUUUUCCUUGGACAAAAUUUAUUGCAGUAAGUUGCUGAACUGAAAGUUUAAUUUAAGUUGUAAAAUUGAAAAGCUCUUGUAAUUGAAAAUGAAAAAUAUGGAGUAGUCUGAAUGCACGAAUGAGGAGUAAAUUACAGAUAAAAGGACUGACUAGAGAGGAACCCAUACGGAUAGUUGGAUGUUUACAAAUUACGUUUUAAUGUAAGAUGUAAUUAUAACUUUAUUUUUCAUCUUGAUUCGUUUUCAUUAUUUUCAUGCAAACACAGUGGCAGUUACACAGGAAAGCCAAAUACAGUCUGUAGAAAUUACUUCGGCCAAGUUUAAACAAAGUAUACUGAAAAAUGGUCUCAUAUUUUCACCUGGGAAAACCUUCUAUUUAGCAUUUAUAGCUCUCUACUGAAGGGAAGGAGUACCAGUAAUUCAUACUGCCAGUCUAUCAAAAUCCUGAGCUUUCUCUAUAAAUUGAAAAUACCAAGUUUUUUCGCACAGUUUAUAAAUAUAUUAGACUGCCUAUACAUCUUUUAUGAUUUAUCCAUUCACUUCUCACUGGUAUAAAGCUAAAACAAACUGACUUUUAAUUGUAGCCUUGAAACUCAGAAAUGAAAAGUAUAAAAAUAGGUGGAACUAAUCAUCUAUUGCAGAAAACUGAGGGCAGUUCUAAAGUUCAAGAAGUUUUUUUAAAAAAUAAAAUGAAUGUAGUCUUUAUGAGAAAUGUCAAUUUUAUUCUGGGCAACUGCAGUCAAAACAUGAGGGUUUUAGCUGGAGCAGUUAAGAACCAUAUGCUCAGAAAACUAAAAGAAGGAAAUAAUAGUUUUGGAAAAAGGUUAACAUCUUGACAUUAAAUUAUGGACUUUAAUAAAAAUUAUGAUAUGUUUUUAUAUGAUCAGGUAUAACUGACUGCUAUGGCAGGUAAUAAAACAGAAAUGAAAAGACUCAUUUCAUCUGUCAGUCUCUGGUUGCAGUAGAGCUCUGCAGGAAACCUAAAUGUGUGGGUCUUUGAACUGACCUAAAUAGCUGUGCGAAAUAAACCUGCUUUGCUUUCAAGCCUCAGUGCUGGAGAUAAAAGUAUCAUAUUCACUCUGGCUUGUUUUGUUCAAUAGUAUAGAAAACUUUAGUCCCAGUUUCAAACAAUAGCUCCUGCCUUUUAUAACCUGUUCUGCAGGUUUUUAAUUGAAUAUUUUUUAUUCAUGAAACUAAUUACACAUAUGUAUGCUUCUAUAAUUGCAGUGUGGUCCUUAAACUGUAUAAAUCAAAUUUGUCUUUAUGGGAUGCAGCUUUAUUAGAUUACUAUUACUUUGGAAUGAAUUUAUUAUUAUUAUAAUUAUUUAGAAAAAUAAUACUGCGUUUGUGUAAUCAAUAACCGUAAUUUUAUAGAUUUUAAGCCUUUAAAAGAAAUAGCAAAUCAUUAACUGUAAAUAGGACAAACUUUUUCAAUGAGUGCCUUUCUUCUAGGCAUCUAAAGCUGCUUAGAACAGUCUAAUGGCUUUUUUUUUUUUUUCCCUGCAAUGUGACUAAAU
Molecule: long non-coding RNA, 32759 nt
Filed under: Gallus gallus (chicken)
Lineage: Eukaryota; Metazoa; Chordata; Aves; Galliformes; Phasianidae
Source: RNAcentral